AGCGAACGCUGGCGGCAGGCCUAACACAUGCAAGUCGAACGAACCUUUCGGGGUUAGUGGCGGACGGGUGAGUAACACGUGGGAACGUGCCUUUAGGUUCGGAAUAACUCAGGGAAACUUGUGCUAAUACCGAAUGUGCCCUUCGGGGGAAAGAUUUAUCGCCUUUAGAGCGGCCCGCGUCUGAUUAGCUAGUUGGUUGAGGUAAUGGCUCACCAAGGCGACGAUCAGUAGCUGUCUGAGAGGAUGAUCAGCCACAUUGGGACUGAGACACGGCCCAAACUCCUACGGGAGGCAGCAGUGGGGAAUCUUGCGCAAUGGGCGAAAGCCUGACGCAGCCAUGCCGCGUGAAUGAUGAAGGUCUUAGGAUUGUAAAAUUCUUUCACCGGGGACGAUAAUGACGGUACCCGGAGAAGAAGCCCCGGCUAACUUCGUG
Molecule: ribosomal RNA, 433 nt
Filed under: uncultured bacterium
Lineage: Bacteria
Description: partial 16S ribosomal RNA
Rfam family: Bacterial small subunit ribosomal RNA
Source: RNAcentral